AUUCCCCUCCUUCUUUAUUCCUAACACAUGCAAGUCGAACGGCAGCACAGUAAGAGCUUGCUCUUACGGGUGGCGAGUGGCGGACGGGUGAGGAAUACAUCGGAAUCUACUUUUUCGUGGGGGAUAACGUAGGGAAACUUACGCUAAUACCGCAUACGACCUACGGGUGAAAGCAGGGGAUCUUCGGACCUUGCGCGAUUGAAUGAGCCGAUGUCGGAUUAGCUAGUUGGCGGGGUAAAGGCCCACCAAGGCGACGAUCCGUAGCUGGUCUGAGAGGAUGAUCAGCCACACUGGAACUGAGACACGGUCCAGACUCCUACGGGAGGCAGCAGUGGGGAAUAUUGGACAAUGGGCGCAAGCCUGAUCCAGCCAUACCGCGUGGGUGAAGAAGGCCUUCGGGUUGUAAAGCCCUUUUGUUGGGAAAGAAAAGCAGCAGGUUAAUACCCCGCUGUUCUGACGGUACCCAAAGAAUAAGCACCGGCUAACUUCGUG
This 492-nucleotide ribosomal RNA is filed under the name uncultured bacterium. RNAcentral's name for it is "partial 16S ribosomal RNA". It matches the Rfam family "Bacterial small subunit ribosomal RNA", at positions 36 to 507 of the family's 1533-position model. The record is from RNAcentral.